Molecule: transfer RNA, 58 nt
Filed under: Furcifer angeli
Lineage: Eukaryota; Metazoa; Chordata; Lepidosauria; Squamata; Chamaeleonidae
Description: tRNA-Ser
Source: RNAcentral
AAAGGAACAUAAGAACUGCUAAAUCCAACAACUGAUACUAAAACAUCAGGCCUUUCUA